This 2603-nucleotide long non-coding RNA is filed under the name Linum usitatissimum (flax). Its description in RNAcentral is "long non-coding RNA (LUSI_LNC008100)". Lineage: Eukaryota; Viridiplantae; Streptophyta; Magnoliopsida; Malpighiales; Linaceae. The record is from RNAcentral.
AGAAGUCAAGACUCAUACUAUUCAGGACAACGUUUAAUAGAUGGUCUUAGUAGGUAGAAUUAAUCAGCGGGGUCAGCAAGACUAAUAAGCCACUGGAUAUCAACCCCUUCAGUAUUCUGAUCCCCUGGAAGGAUAACUUACUGGCGCUGAAUACAAAGUAGAACUACCAUGCAUGUAAAAGCACAAACUAAUCUCACAUACUCCGUCUGAUUCAGAAACACAAAAAUAUGGCUAAUACUACACCAUCAUCAUCAUAGUUCUGUAGAGAAAUAUAUAGGACAAUUCCACAGCAGUAAGCUUGUAAACUUGUAGUUCAAACCUAGAGAGAGUUCAGUUGUCUUCAGUCUGCACUUUGAAUAUCAAGAUUUCUGCAAUAAUUCCAUCCCUUCAAGUCCACACCUAAAAGGCCUUCAAAAAGAAAUCAUGGAUGUCAGUAUGCUAUUGCUAACGAUGAUUUAAAAAAACAUAUGAAGAUAGGAGCGUUACCGUAGCAAGUCCCUCUUAGACAUGGAAUUCAAGGGUACUACAAAAGAUCGUCAUGUAUGUAUUGGAAGUAAAUUUCUUCCGAGUGAAACCUUUUUUAUGGUAAAGAUCUGAGGGAAACGUUAUUAUAACACAAAUGUGACACUUCUUUCCAUAUCUACACUUACUGUGUUCCAAAUGGAAGAAUAAGUACAACUGAUUUCAUUGCCAAAGAAUUCAUACUCUGCCCACUUGAACUGUUGAUCUUAAAACUGCAUCCACCAAGUUAUAAUGUAGAUUUCAUACUCUCAUUCCACUACCCUAACCCAUCCUGCAAGUCUACCACCACAACCAAAAUAGGUCCAAUUGUUAAGCUUCAGAAUUCAAAUUAUCAAUCAGCAGUUACAUCAACACCUUCAACCUAAGCAAAGCCAACGAUUACGUAUUAGAACAACUCGAGGUAACAAACAAACGCUACUCUUAAUUCUUAACAAAUGUUGUGCUGAUUUCUUAUUAGUUAUGGAAUUUCAGACACCUUCAUCUUCAGCAGUAUUUUUUUUGAACUUGGUUCUUAAUGACAUAUGUCCAAGUAGGGCCAGAAGUAAAAACAGAGAUGACCUUUAAGUAGGUUACCAGAGGUCCAAGGGGAUUGUGAUGUGCUGGAUAAAAAAUGAAAUAAAUUCAACCAAGACAUUGGCUUCCUGGUGUAUUCUUCUUCAUCUUUAUCAUCACCCUGGAACCUACAAAUAUAGUAUUGAGAAUAACUCUAACCAACUUUAUUGGCAUCCAUCAAAUUAUCCAAGUGAAGCUGCUUCCAUAAUGAGACCUACCAAUUUCCAAGUCCAUACAAUUAAUUGAACACUUGAAAAACCACCGGUUGUGUUGUUUUUUGGAUUCAAAGAAAUCGCCACAUUUGUCACUGGAUCUGUCCUUCACUUGACACCAUCUCUAGCAAAAGUCAGUCCAAGAAGCUGACCAUCACCUGCUGCUAGAACCAAACGAAAGGAAAAUAUGUGAUAUCUAUGAUUAAGGCAAUAACUCUGAGAUGGGCAAUUGAUAGUAGUUUGGACAGGAAAAUGUACACAAUAUUUAUGCUUGAGCCAAGAAGUCAGAAACAUUGUAUAAUAGGUUGGAUAUCAAACAGGCUACUAAGAUUUACAGGCAUAAUCAACAGGCCUGGCAGAACAAAUAAAACAAUUUUUUGAACAGUUCAUAAUAAUAAGCUUCAUUCGAUCAACUAAAAUGGCUACAACAAACAUAAGCCAUGGACUGUGAGCCCUAAACCCCAAAUUGUUAGUAAGAAAUUGAUUUGAGUUAGGGAGACAUUAAUAGAGUACUAAAACCCUAGAAAACCAACGCUGCAGCUGGGUCAUUGCCAACCAAAAAUUCCAUAAUCGUUUUCUAGAGCUGGAUUAGAAUGCUCAGCUCUGUUUGUUGCUUAUAGUUAAAAACAAAGAACCAACAACUCAUAAGCCCGAUGAAAAAGAGAGAUUCAGAACAACUUACACAAACCAAUUACUUCUUGCUUCCCUAUCUUGUAAGACCGAACAACCAGCUUCGCCAUCCCUGUCUUCGUGGGGGUUGUGGUAGACUUAAUGCAACUCUUUUUUUUUGUUGAAAACAGAACACCUAGCCGUGAAGGAGCUGCAAAGAGAACACAUACAUUGGAGAUUGAUGGGUACAAUUUUUCUAUUAUUCACCAUCAGGGACGAUCAUCGCAAAAUUGGGUGAAUCUGAAAAAAGAAGGCAGCGAGAGAACUACGAUGGAGGGAUGAAAGCAAGAGAGGAUUUGGAAGAGAGGAAGUAAGAUGAGGGAGAAGGAGGCUUAGAGACUGGGAAAAACUUUGGAAGUGCAUUUGAAAUGGAACUGAAUGAUCGAGAGACUGGUUGGGAUCCAAUCCAAUCAAGAAACAGAAGUACUGUUCUAUUUGGCAGGGGACUGGGGGUGUACUGUUCAUCGCGAACAGUAUGCUACAGUUGGUGGUUGCUCCGUUUUGUUGUGAUUUGGGUGCGGGUGAAUUGGGUUCUGGCCCGCCCCGCGUUGGUCCGUUUCCUAGUCGGAAUGAGAAAAUCAAACCGCGUAAAUAUGUGACCGUUGGGGUUGAUCGGAAUCGUAAUUAGGAACAAACUUCAGGCAUUAC